Molecule: ribosomal RNA, 512 nt
Filed under: uncultured bacterium
Lineage: Bacteria
Description: partial 16S ribosomal RNA
Rfam family: Bacterial small subunit ribosomal RNA
Source: RNAcentral
GACGAACACUAGCGGCGUGCCUAAUACAUGCAAGUCGAGCGAAUCAAUAGGAGCUUGCUCCUGUUGGUUAGCGGCGGACGGGUGAGUAACACGUGGGCAACCUGCCUGUAAGACUGGGAUAACAUCGGGAAACCGAUGCUAAUACCGGAUAAUUCAUUCCCUCUCAUGAGGGAAUGUUGAAAGUCGGUUUCGGCUGACACUUACAGAUGGGCCCGAGGCGCAUUAGCUAGUUGGUGAGGUAACGGCUAACCAAGGCGACGAUGCGUAGCCGACCUGAGAGGGUGAUCGGCCACACUGGGACUGAGACACGGCCCAGACUCCUACGGGAGGCAGCAGUAGGGAAUCUUCCACAAUGGACGAAAGUCUGAUGGAGCAACGCCGCGUGAGCGAUGAAGGCCUUCGGGUCGUAAAGCUCUGUUGUUAGGGAAGAACAUGUACCGGAGUAACUGCCGGUACCUUGACGGUACCUAACCAGAAAGCCACGGCUAACUACGUGCCAGCCGCCGCAGUAA